GUGAACGCUGGCGGUAGGCCUAACACCUGCAAGUCGAACGGCAGCACAGUAAGAGCUUGCUCUUACGGGUGGCGAGUGGCGGACGGGUGAGGAAUACAUCGGAAUCUACUUUUUCGUGGGGGAUAACGUAGGGAAACUUACGCUAAUACCGCAUACGACCUACGGGUGAAAGCAGGGGAUCUUCGGACCUUGCGCGAUUGAAUGAGCCGAUGUCGGAUUAGCUAGUCGGCGGGGUAAAGGCCCACCAAGGCGACGAUCCGUAGCUGGUCUGAGAGGAUGAUCAGCCACACUGGAACUGAGACACGGUCCAGACUCCUACGGGAGGCAGCAGUGGGGAAUAUUGGACAAUGGGCGCAAGCCUGAUCCAGCCAUACCGCGUGGGUGAAGAAGGCCUUCGGGUUGUAAAGCCCUUUUGUUGGGAAAGAAAAGCAGCAGGUUAAUACCCCGCUGUUCUGACGGUACCCAAAGAAUAAGCACCGGCUAACUUCGUG
Molecule: ribosomal RNA, 491 nt
Filed under: uncultured bacterium
Lineage: Bacteria
Description: partial 16S ribosomal RNA
Rfam family: Bacterial small subunit ribosomal RNA
Source: RNAcentral